RNAcentral lists this small nuclear RNA (23 nucleotides) under Arabidopsis thaliana (thale cress). Its description in RNAcentral is "snRNA_06868". Lineage: Eukaryota; Viridiplantae; Streptophyta; Magnoliopsida; Brassicales; Brassicaceae. The record is from RNAcentral.
CCAACCCAUUCACGACAUCUUUU